UGGUCUUAGCUUGCUAAGGCCGAUGGCGACCGGCGCACGGGUGAGUAACACGUAUCCAACCUGCCGUCUACUCUUGGACAGCCUUCUGAAAGGAAGAUUAAUACAAGAUGGCAUCAUGAGUCCACAUGUUCACAUGAUUAAAGGUAUUCCGGUAGACGAUGGGGAUGCGUUCCAUUAGAUAGUAGGCGGGGUAACGGCCCACCUAGUCUUCGAUGGAUAGGGGUUCUGAGAGGAAGGUCCCCCACAUUGGAACUGAGACACGGUCCAAACUCCUACGGGAGGCAGCAGUGAGGAAUAUUGGUCAAUGGGCGAGAGCCUGAACCAGCCAAGUAGCGUGAAGGAUGACUGCCCUAUGGGUUGUAAACUUCUUUUAUAAAGGAAUAAAGUCGGGUAUGCAUACCCGUUUGCAUGUACUUUAUGAAUAAGGAUCGGCUAACUCCGUGCCAGCAGCCGCGGUAAUACGGAGGAUCCGAGCGUUAUCCGGAUUUAUUGGGUUUAAAGGGAGCGUAGAUGGAUGUUUAAGUCAGUUGUGAAAGUUUGCGGCUCAACCGUAAAAUUGCAGUUGAUACUGGAUAUCUUGAGUGCAGUUGAGGCAGGCGGAAUUCGUGGUGUAGCGGUGAAAUGCUUAGAUAUCACGAAGAACUCCGAUUGCGGAGGCAGCCUGCUAAGCUGCAACUGACAUUGAGGCUCGAAAGUGUGGG
RNAcentral lists this ribosomal RNA (701 nucleotides) under uncultured Bacteroidales bacterium. RNAcentral's name for it is "bacterial SSU rRNA". It matches the Rfam family "Bacterial small subunit ribosomal RNA", at positions 70 to 765 of the family's 1533-position model. The record is from RNAcentral. Lineage: Bacteria; Pseudomonadati; Bacteroidota; Bacteroidia; Bacteroidales.